UCCUCUUGAUCCAAGCUGAUCUGCGCUCCUAGCAAAGCUGCAUUUGGAGAGUCAACCUGCACAUCUGGCCACUCUCACCUCUCAUACUUGGUACAAUAAAUGGCCUGGAUUAACCCAGCUGUGUUAUCAGCUCAGAGCAGCAUGAGAAAGCCACGCUGCUUUCACAGAGGACACUGCUAUUUUCUAUUCUGUCAAGAGUUGGGCCUCUAAUGUAACACAAAUACUGUGGUUUGCUUGGAUACGGAUUCAGUAAUUAAUUGCUGAAAAAUUUAAAAAAUACAUGCUUUCUGACCAACAUAUCAUCAGUUUUGCUACUGUGCAGAUUGACACCUCUUCACUUUCUGUUUAAGGUUCCCCCCAGGAAAGCUAGCCUUCAAAACAGAGGAGGCUUUACUCAGAGUGAAGUUACAGGUGUUCAGAUUGGUGUGAUGACAGCUGGAAGCUGAGCAGAAAUGAAGACAUUCUUAUUGCACCCAAACCUGGUGUUUCAUAAUGUGAUCAUUUGAGGAAAUCCUACUAUGAUGUCAGAGCAGCAUUCUGAGAAAAAAAUUACCUCACAAUUUGAUGAGCUUUGCUGCAGACCAUUCUGUGGGUAUGGAUUCUAAAGCUGUGCCCAGACAGAAGAUCCCAUUGCAGGAGAAGUGAACCCAUUCCAUACUGUGCGAGGUGCAGAGCUGCUGCUGGGUGAGGCAGAUUUGGGAGGAGGUGCAGCUGAAGUGAGGAGAGUGACAUCCAAGAGGGAAUGAAUACCUGGAUGUUCCUUGGGUUCUUUUUCAAAUGCCACAAUGAUUUGUUAAGUGGAGUCUGUUCCAUAGAUGUUGGAAGCAAAGCAGGAGUAACGCCCCGUGUCCUCCUCAAAAGCCUCAACAAUGAUCAGGGAGUGGCGGUCACCUGCCUGGAUAAUUUGGAUGUCUGGUGAGUUUUCAAGCUCCUUCCCUUCACAGUACCACCU
Passer domesticus (house sparrow) is the source of this 952-nucleotide long non-coding RNA. RefSeq lists it as uncharacterized. Lineage: Eukaryota; Metazoa; Chordata; Aves; Passeriformes; Passeridae. The transcript is spliced from 5 exons. The record is from RefSeq and is a predicted model, not a curated record.